RNAcentral lists this ribosomal RNA (633 nucleotides) under Salmonella enterica subsp. enterica. Its description in RNAcentral is "partial 23S ribosomal RNA". It matches the Rfam family "Bacterial large subunit ribosomal RNA", at positions 2259 to 2886 of the family's 2925-position model. Lineage: Bacteria; Pseudomonadati; Pseudomonadota; Gammaproteobacteria; Enterobacterales; Enterobacteriaceae. The record is from RNAcentral.
UGGUGGGUAGUUUGACUGGGGCGGUCUCCUCCUAAAGAGUAACGGAGGAGCACGAAGGUUGGCUAAUCCUGGUCGGACAUCAGGAGGUUAGUGCAAUGGCAUAAGCCAGCUUGACUGCGAGCGUGACGGCGCGAGCAGGUGCGAAAGCAGGUCAUAGUGAUCCGGUGGUUCUGAAUGGAAGGGCCAUCGCUCAACGGAUAAAAGGUACUCCGGGGAUAACAGGCUGAUACCGCCCAAGAGUUCAUAUCGACGGCGGUGUUUGGCACCUCGAUGUCGGCUCAUCACAUCCUGGGGCUGAAGUAGGUCCCAAGGGUAUGGCUGUUCGCCAUUUAAAGUGGUACGCGAGCUGGGUUUAGAACGUCGUGAGACAGUUCGGUCCCUAUCUGCCGUGGGCGCUGGAGAACUGAGGGGGGCUGCUCCUAGUACGAGAGGACCGGAGUGGACGCAUCACUGGUGUUCGGGUUGUCAUGCCAAUGGCACUGCCCGGUAGCUAAAUGCGGAAGAGAUAAGUGCUGAAAGCAUCUAAGCACGAAACUUGCCCCGAGAUGAGUUCUCCCUGAGACUUAAAGUCUCCUGAAGGAACGUUGAAGACGACGACGUUGAUAGGCCGGGUGUGUAAGCGCAGCGAUGCGU